Molecule: small nucleolar RNA, 106 nt
Filed under: Gossypium hirsutum (cotton)
Lineage: Eukaryota; Viridiplantae; Streptophyta; Magnoliopsida; Malvales; Malvaceae
Description: Plant small nucleolar RNA R71
Rfam family: Plant small nucleolar RNA R71
About the family: R71 is a member of the C/D box family of snoRNAs containing the C (UGAUGA) and D (CUGA) box motifs.
Source: Rfam by way of RNAcentral
AACCCAUGUGAGGGCACCUUCUCGAUAAAUCCUUAUACCUCUCCCAUGCAUCAUAUAGGGUUUCUAAAUCAAUUUGAAUGAAAGAGGAGAUAUCAUUCCUCAACUU